GGGAGCGGCUUGUGCCUGGUGGUGCGCCUGGACUUCAAAUCCAGCGGGAGGCGUGAAGAGCGUCUCCGGUGGGUUCGAUUCCCACACGCUCCCGCCA
Molecule: transfer RNA, 97 nt
Filed under: Thermacetogenium phaeum DSM 12270
Lineage: Bacteria; Bacillati; Bacillota; Clostridia; Thermoanaerobacterales; Thermoanaerobacteraceae
Also listed under: 1 other name
Description: tRNA-SeC (TCA) (tRNA-SeC-TCA-1-1)
Rfam family: Selenocysteine transfer RNA
Source: RNAcentral